Equus caballus (horse) is the source of this 2955-nucleotide long non-coding RNA. Lineage: Eukaryota; Metazoa; Chordata; Mammalia; Perissodactyla; Equidae. The record is from Ensembl.
GCCGUUUUCUGUGUUUUCCAUUACAAAUAAUGCUAUAAGGAAUAGCCCUGUAUGUAAAUCUGUACACCUACGUGUGAGAACAUUUGUAAGAAAACGCGGAAUUGUUGCAUUAAAUUUUAAUGAAUGUUGUCAAAUUUCCUCAAAUGGCAUUUAUUUGCAUGUGUGUGUGUUCCAAUAACAUUUUAUUUAUGGAAAUUUGAAUUUCAUUUAAUUUUCACACGUCACAAAACAUUCUUUUGAUUUUUCUCCAUCAGUUAAAAUGUAAUAAUCACUCUUAGUUCAGGGGCUGUAUAAAUCAGGUGGUAAACCAGAUUUGGUCUACCAGCCAUAGUUUGCCAAGCUCUGGUUUAGUCUAACUAGUCUAGUUUAAGUUGUAAAAAAAGGGGCUAAGGUUCACCAAUGUUCCCAACUGAAAAGUUUUAUUAAAACACAUGUUUUAGACAUUUUCGAAAUGUUUUGAAAAAACAUUAAGUAAACUUAGUCCACUAAUGCAAGUCACCGAAAAUUUUUUCCUUACUGAUUAGUUUAAAAAACUUUUAUUACAAAAGUCAUCAAUGCAGAUUCUACUCUGACUUUGUAUUAAGUUCAGCCAAAUUUUGUUAUGUGAGAUCAUCCUUUAGGUUAUUUCAGCUUGUGAACCGCCAUACACUACAGCUUUCUGCCUCCACUAAACACUGUGAUGGAGGUGGGAAUGGAGGCCUUGGAGGGAAAGCAGAAGGCAUGGAUUUGGCUUCUGGUCUAUCUGAUUUUGCUUCAAGAUUCAGAGAUGUAUAGGUUUAUCACGCUCUCGCUAAACUGAAUGACUUCAACCCUUGGUGUCCCGUUUCCUUGUUUUUUCAUGUUCCUUGAAGUCUUGCCUUGCUGUCUUCACCCCUGAAGAAGCAGUCACCUCCUCCAUCAAGCGACUGGCUUCAGGAGAGAAACACACACCUUGGGUCACCCUGUGAGGGACUGAGGCGUUCUCAGACCGUUUCUGUGGCCACGUGUGCUCCACACUUCUUGUUCCUUCUUGGGAGGGAAUUCUUAAGGUUGUCUGCCUUCUCUGGAUGCUGCAGAGCCAGGCCGGUGCGGGCAGCCUCCCUUUUGCUUUCUCCAGGUCCCAUUGAAUGCUGAAGUUUGCAUACUUUCUCUCAAUCCCGCUCACUAGCCAUCUGCGAAGACUCACCAACCUUGGGUGGGGGUCGGGUGCGCACCCACAGCACCGGCCAGGGGGUGGGGGUGUGGGGAGUGAGAUGUGUGCAGCACUGGGGUGUCCGUGGGCCGUCUGGGGAGAUCCGCAGGCAAGCUGUCCCCAGCAGCUUGUGGGUGGGCUUCCUGAUGGAGUCCGCAAAGUGGCUGGUAGAAUUGUCCUUUUGAAGCCCUCCGAGUGCCCGGGCUGCCUUCUCCCAGGCCCCUCCACCCCCCCACCGGUCGUGCAGCACACCCGGCGUUCUGGAUGCGGGGAGAGAGAGAAGUGGGCAGGCUGCCCUACAGUUGGGGAAGCCAGACGCUCACGCCCACGCUCUCACCUCCCCCUUGGGGAGAAAUCGCUGGCGAAAGGGGCUCUGUUGGCUCUGGGCUGUGCGCUGGGGGAGGAGUCACAGGAAAAGUGACACUGGUCCUCUUCAUUGCGUCCAAUCUCAGGUUUUGUUUUGCUCCCACAGUGUGCUGGAAGUUCGCGGGUCUCUGGGAUUCCCACAAAGGUGCUCUUAUCCGCGGAUGAUGGUCAACAUCAGUGUUCGUUGGGGUUCAAGAUGAGUCAAGGCUCAAGUAGACUUGAAGUCCUCCAACAGACAAGCCCUAAUGGACACAGACAAGGUGCCAGCAGGAGAUGACUUUGAUCUGAACAUACCCGAGCCUGUCCUCAUCCCUCUUCUCAAACACUACCCUGUCCAUUCUCUCCCCAGGAAACCACUACCCUAACUUCUGACUUCACAAACUAUUUUUGCCUGUUUUUCAACUUAGCCAAAGAUAACCCAGAAAGAGCAACAUUCUACUCACUUUGUGGGAGGAGCCCAUGGAUUUCAGCAUCUCGGUGAUGUGGGGACUUUCCAGAUGCAGACACGUAGUGCCCAAGGCAACAACAGCAACAGUACCAUGUUGGUGGCUAGCCUCUGGUGGCCCACCUCUGGACCAACCUACCUCCACACUCAUGGCUGUGGAGUCCACCAGCCUCAAGUGAUGUGUCUAAGUGUUUGCUCUUCUAGCAAAAGGCAAAUGUGACUGGGAUGGUAGUCCAGUGUGAGCGAGCAUCCCUGGGGAUCCUUCGGCAUAUUGGGUUGCAAGUCCCAGCGUGCCUGACUCAGAAGACAUGCAAAAACAUUUGCUGAAUGAAUGAUAAGGGAAACACUCGAUUGCCUGCUAAUUUGGGCAGUUGAGGAUCCAGAGUUGUAUGUAUGCUUGCCAAUGAAAGGGAAAUAUUAUUUUUACCCCAACCUGUGAAUAUUGUUUAUAUCUCUUGUAAGUGUUCCCCAGGUAAAACUCAAAUAUUAGUUCCUUCCUUAUUUAGCCCCAAAAUAUCUAGCAUCAUCUUGGAGUAUGUGCCUCCCGACCGCCCUGGUAUACACAUAUACUCUUUGUUAACUAAGUAUAGUUUCUCCAGAGAAACAGAACCAAUAAGAUAUACGCAGAUAUAUAGAAAGAUAUUUAUUAUGAGAGAUUGGCUCGCGAGAUUAUGGAGUCUGAGAAGUCCCAUGAUCUACCAUUUGCAAGCUGGAGACUCAGGAAAGACGAUGGUGUGGAUCCAGUUCAAACUCAAGAGCACUGACGUCUGAGGGCAGGAGACCAUGGACGUCCCAGCUCACGCAGAGAGAGCAAUUGGCCCUUUCUCUGCCUUUUUGUUCUCGUCAGGCCCUCAGUGAAUGGAAUGAUGCCCACCCUGUUGGUGAGGGCCAUCUUCUACACGUCUCCCGAUUCAAAUGCUAAGCUCUUCUACGAAUACCUUUACAGACACACCCAGAUAUAAUGUUUUACCAG